Molecule: unclassified non-coding RNA, 298 nt
Filed under: Hevea brasiliensis (rubber tree)
Lineage: Eukaryota; Viridiplantae; Streptophyta; Magnoliopsida; Malpighiales; Euphorbiaceae
Source: RNAcentral
CAGAUGUCAUCCUCAACCAUAAGAAAGAUGAAGAAAUGAAGAAGGGUCAUGAACAAAGUUAAAUAUAUAGAUAAACAUCAUCAAUUGCCUGGCACGCAGAGCAUAAAGAAACAUGUAGCCAAGGACAACUUGCCAACUUGGUCUUUUGCUUCUUGCAUAGGCCACUGGUCGGCAAGUCAUCCUUGGCUGCAUACUACUUUGCACAUCUACAUGCAAACCCCAUAGAUGAAAACCACAUAUGCACCGAAGCUGCUCAGGCUAAAUGUUAUAGCUAGCUACAGACAUAUAAGAAAGAAAU